CACCCCAGAUCAACCGCUAAGGUCCCCAAGUUCACGUUAAGUGGAGAAGGAUGUGGAAUUGCACAGACAACCAGGAUGUUGGCUCAGAAGCAGCCACACAUUUAAAGAGUGCGUAAUAGCUCACUGGUCGAGUGAUUGUGCGCCGAAGAUGUCCGGGGCUAAACGUGACACCGAAGCGAUGGGCGCGUCUGAAGAAGAUGCGCGGUAGAGGAGCAAUGUGCAGAGGCAGAAGCCGUAUCGAGAGGCACGGUGGACACUGCACAAGAGAGAAUGCCGGUAUGAGUAGCGAGAGGCAUGCGAGAAACAUGCCCGUCGAAAGCCCAAGGUUUCCUGGGGAAGGUUCAUCCGCCCAGGGUAAGUCGGGGCCUAAGCCGAGGACGGAAGUCGUAGGCGAUGGACAGCAGGUGUAGAUUCCUGCACUACCGAUGGAAUGAAGCAGUGACACAGAAGGAUAACUCGAGCAGGGUGAUGGUCAACCCUGUGCAAGCAUCAAGGUUGGGUUGUAGUGAAGUACGCAACCCUAUAAGCUGAGGUGUGAUGCGGACCGAAAUUUCAGUAGGGAAGCGAGUGAGUUCACGCUGGCGAGAAAAGCUGCUAGUACAUCCAAAGGUACCCGUACCGGAAACCGACGCAGGUGGGCGAGGAGAGAAUCCUGAGACGAACGGGAGAACCCUUGUUAAGGAACUCGGCAAAAUGACCCCGUAACUUCGGGAUAAGGGGUGCCUGCGAGAGCAGGCCGCAGAGAAUAGUCACAAGCGACUGUUUAGCAAAAACACAGGUAUCUGCGAAAGCGAGAGCUGACGUAUAGGUGCUGACACCUGCCCGGUGCUGGAAGGUUAAGGGAACAUGUUAGAGCAAUCGAAGCAUCGAACCGAAGCCCCAGUAAACGGCGGCCGUAACUAUAACGGUCCUAAGGUAGCGAAAUUCCUUGUCGGGUAAGUUCCGACCCGCACGAAUGGUGUAACGACUUGUGAGCUGUCUCAACAGGGGGCCCGGUGAAAUUGAAGUAUGGGUGAAGAUGCCCAUUACCCGCGACUGGACGGAGAGACCCCGUAGAGCUUUACUGCAGCCUGAUAUUGAGUUUCGGUAACUGAUGCACAGGAUAGGUGGGAGUCUGAGAGACAUGGGUUUCGGCUCGUGUGGAGACGCUGUUGGGAUACCACUCUUCGGUUACUGAAAUUCUAACAUAGCUCUGUGAAACCAGAGGAUGGACAGUGUCAGGUGGACAGUUUGACUGGGGCGGUCGCCUCCGAAAGAGUAACGGAGGCGCCCAAAGGUACCCUCAGAAUGGAUGGAAACCAUUCGAAGAGCGCAAAGGCAGAAGGGUGCCUGACUGCGAGAGUGACAACUCGAGCAGAGACGAAAGUCGGGCUUAGUGAUCCGGCGGUAUUGAGUGGAAAAGCCGUCGCUUAACGGAUAAAAGCUACCUCGGGGAUAACAGGCUGAUCUCCCCCAAGAGUCCACAUCGACGGGGAGGUUUGGCACCUCGAUGUCGGCUCAUCGCAUCCUGGGGCUGUAUUCGGUCCCAAGGGUUUGGCUGUUCGCCAAUUAAAGCGGCACGCGAGCUGGGUUCAGAACGUCGUGAGACAGUUCGGUCCCUAUCCAUCGUGGGCGUAGGAGUCAUGAGAGGAGCUGUUCCUAGUACGAGAGGACCGGAAUGGACGCACCACUGGUGCAACUGUUGUCGUGCCAACGGCAUAGCAGGGAAGCGAAGUGCGGACGGGAUAAACGCUGAAGGCAUCUAAGCGUGAAGCCCACCUCAAGAAUAAGACUCCACAAUAGACCCCUGGAGGACUACCAGGUAGAUAGGUCAUCGGUGGAAGCGCUGUAAGGCGUGUAGCUUGAUGAUACUAAUCGGUCGAAAGCUUCAUUUA
Molecule: ribosomal RNA, 1874 nt
Filed under: human gut metagenome
Description: bacterial LSU rRNA
Rfam family: Bacterial large subunit ribosomal RNA
Source: RNAcentral